GGACCCGUGGUGUAGUGGUUAACAUGCCUCCCUGUCACGGAGGAGAUCACCAGUUCGAUCCUGGUCGGGUUCGCCA
This 76-nucleotide transfer RNA is filed under the name Candidatus Pacebacteria bacterium CG10_big_fil_rev_8_21_14_0_10_45_6. RNAcentral describes it as "tRNA-Asp". It matches the Rfam family "tRNA". Rfam says of the family: Transfer RNA (tRNA) molecules are approximately 80 nucleotides in length. The record is from RNAcentral. Lineage: Bacteria; Bacillati; Minisyncoccota. RNAcentral also lists the same sequence under 1 other name.